Long non-coding RNA from Serinus canaria (Common canary), 509 nucleotides. RefSeq lists it as uncharacterized. The transcript has 3 exons. NCBI's taxonomy places the organism in Eukaryota, Metazoa, Chordata, Aves, Passeriformes, Fringillidae. The record is from RefSeq and is a predicted model, not a curated record.
AGACGGACACGGACCGAGGACAAACGCUGGUGUGCCCCAAGAUCAGUCUCAGGCUAUAGUAACACACUGAAGUGCUCUACUUAUUGAAGUGCUGACAGGAGCUUGCUAGGAAAACAUUUGGAAUUAACUAAGAACCUCAGGCUACAGAUGCUGCUAAGAGGAAAGGAAACACAGCAUCAAAUGAGACAUGAGACCAAACAGUGGCUCUUUAUCAGGAGUACCCACUGGGAAUGCCAUUCUCUGCUCUCAGGCAGAAGGUUUCUUCUGUGCACUCCUUGAGCUUUUCUUUUUUAAUAAUUUAAUAGUGAGCAUUUUUAGUUUCUCUACCAAAUGCAGGUUCUCUGAUCCAAGUGGCUGGGGAAAUAAAAACAACUAAAAAAGCUUAAGAGACUCCAGAACUACAAGAGCUGCUUAACUUCUGAGGGAAAUUGUGCUAUAAAAAAUGGUUUUAUGCUGUCAAGCACCCUGAAGUUAUAUGAGUAGGAGAACCUUUCCAAAGUAGCUCCAUG